CUAACAGAGUAAUAAUCCGACCAGCCAGUUCAUUCUCUAUCCUCAUUAUUCCACUGAGGAGAUUAAUUUAAUCUUGGAUUGUAGUUGGAGCUGAGACUGAAACAAAAGAAACCCAUCCAUAUAACAUAUGGGAGACAGAAGACCCCUGGGCUCCGAGUUCCGGUGCACUGGUGGAAUCAUCCAGUAGAAGACAAAGAUAGCCAGUUCUCCAGCCAUUCAGCUGCAGGAACCAAAAAGAGAGCUCUGAGAUCAGGUGUUGAGAUGAUGGAGAGAGGGGGAUGCAACCACCACACCACUCUCCAUUGUUGACCAUCUAUGGAGGCUUGGCUGUAGCUUAGUUGGAGAUGGGGUUGAGGAGAGAGGGC
This is a long non-coding RNA of Gadus morhua (Atlantic cod), 365 nucleotides long. Lineage: Eukaryota; Metazoa; Chordata; Actinopteri; Gadiformes; Gadidae. The record is from Ensembl.